This 855-nucleotide ribosomal RNA is filed under the name uncultured bacterium. RNAcentral's name for it is "bacterial SSU rRNA". It matches the Rfam family "Bacterial small subunit ribosomal RNA", at positions 650 to 1504 of the family's 1533-position model. The record is from RNAcentral.
AGAAGAGGACAGUGGAACUCCAUGUGUAGCGGUGAAAUGCGUAGAUAUAUGGAAGAACACCAGUGGCGAAGGCGGCUGUCUGGUCUGUAACUGACGCUGAGGCUCGAAAGUAUGGGUAGCAAACAGGAUUAGAUACCCUGGUAGUCCAUACCGUAAACGAUGAAUGCUAAGUGUUGGAGGGUUUCCGCCCUUCAGUGCUGCAGCUAACGCAUUAAGCAUUCCGCCUGGGGAGUACGGCCGCAAGGCUGAAACUCAAAGGAAUUGACGGGGGCCCGCACAAGCGGUGGAGCAUGUGGUUUAAUUCGAAGCUACGCGAAGAACCUUACCAGGUCUUGACAUACUAUGCAAAUCUAAGAGAUUAGACGUUCCCUUCGGGGACAUGGAUACAGGUGGUGCAUGGUUGUCGUCAGCUCGUGUCGUGAGAUGUUGGGUUAAGUCCCGCAACGAGCGCAACCCUUAUUAUCAGUUGCCAGCAUUAAGUUGGGCACUCUGGUGAGACUGCCGGUGACAAACCGGAGGAAGGUGGGGAUGACGUCAAAUCAUCAUGCCCCUUAUGACCUGGGCUACACACGUGCUACAAUGGAUGGUACAACGAGUUGCGAACUCGCGAGAGUAAGCUAAUCUCUUAAAGCCAUUCUCAGUUCGGAUUGUAGGCUGCAACUCGCCUACAUGAAGUCGGAAUCGCUAGUAAUCGCGGAUCAGCAUGCCGCGGUGAAUACGUUCCCGGGCCUUGUACACACCGCCCGUCACACCAUGAGAGUUUGUAACACCCAAAGUCGGUGGGGUAACCUUUUAGGAACCAGCCGCCUAAGGUGGGACAGAUGAUUAGGGUGAAGUCGUAACAAGGUAGCCGUA